UUCAGGUCAUGGCAAGGUCGAGAGCGUGGAAUGUCCUUGAGGGCUCAUGGAAACUUUUACCCAAAAUCAUCAAUGGUGGUAUUGCUGGAAUUAUUGGUGUAACAUGUGUAUUUCCAAUCGAUCUAGUGAAAACGAGGCUGCAGAACCAACAAGUUGGACCAAAAGGAGAAAAAAUGUACUUUUCCAUGUUAGAUUGUUUUCGCAAAACAUAUGCAAGAGAAGGUUUUUUUGGCAUGUAUAGGGGAUCAGCUGUUAAUAUUUUACUUAUUACACCAGAAAAGGCUAUCAAACUUGCUGCAAACGAUUUUUUUCGGCAUCAUCUUUCAUCUGGCUCCGGUAAGCUAUCACUGCAAAGAGAAAUGAUUGCUGGUGGAUCUGCAGGAUUUUGUCAAAUAAUUGUCACAACUCCUAUGGAACUUCUCAAAAUACAACUACAAGAUGCAGGAAGAGUUGCCACUAAAAGUGCUGCUGAAGGAGGAACUGUUGUCAGCACAUCAGCUACUUCCAUAGCUUUGCAGCUUCUUCGCUCAAGGGGUAUAGCUGGAUUGUAUAAAGGAACAGCAGCUACCAUGUUACGUGAUGUUAAUUUUUCUAUUGUGUAUUUUCCAUUGUUUGCACAUUUGAAUGCUCUGGGGCCUCGAAAAAAAGACGGAAGUGGAGAAGCAGUGUUUUGGACAUCAUUUCUAGCAGGUUGCGUAGCUGGUUCUACUGCAGCAUUUACUGUUAAUCCAUUUGAUGUUGUUAAAACAAGACUGCAACUUUUGAAGAAAGCUAGUGGUGAAAUGACCUACUCAGGAAUUCCAGAUGCUUUUAUCAAAAUCUUCAAAACAGAAGGUUUUCAAGCUUUUUUUAAAGGAGCUGGUUGCCGGAUGAUUGUAAUCGCACCUUUGUUUGGAAUUGCACAAACCGUUUAUUAUUGGGGUGUGGCAGAAUGGUUGUUAGGCAAAAAGAAGAGAAUAAUUAAUUGUGCUUGAAAUUGCUGUUCAUAGCAUAUUUGACUCUUGGUUGUCAUUUACUGAUAUAUACCUAUUUUCUUAUACCCAAUCCCUGCAUGCAGUGAUGAUUCAGGAAACUAACGGUUUGCUGAAGAAGCAAAG
RNAcentral lists this unclassified non-coding RNA (1097 nucleotides) under Stegodyphus dumicola. Its description in RNAcentral is "mitochondrial glutamate carrier 1-like, transcript variant X3". Lineage: Eukaryota; Metazoa; Arthropoda; Arachnida; Araneae; Eresidae. The record is from RNAcentral.